This 453-nucleotide long non-coding RNA is filed under the name Capsicum annuum. RNAcentral's name for it is "long non-coding RNA (CANN_LNC018698)". Lineage: Eukaryota; Viridiplantae; Streptophyta; Magnoliopsida; Solanales; Solanaceae. The record is from RNAcentral.
UAAAAUUUUGAUUGUAAUUUAGAUGUAUGAAUUUUUGUUAAUGUCACCUUAAUUAAAAUUUAAAGAUUCUCUUGCUUGAAAAGUUAGCCUUUAUUUUCUUUUGUUAUAUGGAUUAGUAUCUAUGUUUGUUCAAUUUUAGAAGUCAUGAGUAUUUUCUUUGUUGCCUCAUCCCUUUACUUUUGCAAGCUUACGUUGUUUGUUUAUUGCAUUAAUUCAUUGAAUAUGGCCUUCUUCCUUUUACCUUUAUUCAUUCUUGUAUGAACAUAAAUCAUGAGGCAUGUAAGUGGGUGUCUUUGCUUUGCAUUUUAUUUGUUGACUCUCAUUCUUGUCCAAGUGUGCUUAUCAUUGUCAUUCAAAAUUGGUUCUUGAUAUUUUCUUUUGCUUUGAAAUAUGUCACUUUUAUGCCUUGAAUGUAUAUUAAUUUCCUUAUCUUUUCUUUGCAUGCAAAAAAAA